AAGGUGACCAACUUAAUGAGAUGAAAAUCAGUCACAUCGUCAUGCAAAACAAAAUGAAAAAAUGCUAUCUC
This is a non-coding RNA of Caenorhabditis elegans, 71 nucleotides long. The record is from Ensembl. Lineage: Eukaryota; Metazoa; Nematoda; Chromadorea; Rhabditida; Rhabditidae.